RNAcentral lists this ribosomal RNA (253 nucleotides) under uncultured bacterium. RNAcentral describes it as "partial 16S ribosomal RNA". It matches the Rfam family "Bacterial small subunit ribosomal RNA", at positions 524 to 776 of the family's 1533-position model. The record is from RNAcentral.
UACGUAGGGGGCAAGCGUUGUCCGGAAUCAUUGGGCGUAAAGCGCGUGUAGGCGGCUUCGUAAGUCCGUUGUGAAAGUCCAGGGCUCAACCCUGGGAUGCCGGUGGAUACUGUCGGGCUCGAGUCCGGAAGAGGAGUGUGGAAUUCCUGGUGUAGCGGUGAAAUGCGCAGAUAUCAGGAGGAACACCGGUGGCGAAGGCGGAUCUCUGGGCCUUACCUGACGCUGAGGCGCGAAAGCUAGGGGAGCGAACAGG